AAGAAUUGUUAAAUUCCUUUUCACAACAAAUCAUACCCACCAUGUCUACCUUAUUAUUCACAUGGGACGGCUUUUGGCUGGUGUAUGGUACGUUCGGAUUUUGUACAACGAUGCUACCCUCGUCAAUAAGCUCCUGAAUUGCUUUCUUCAGCUUCCAGCACUUUUCCGUGUCUUGCCCCUGAGCAUCUGAGAAAUAUGCACACUUUAGAGAAAAAUCACUUUUCAGAGGGUUUGGAAUUUUUAUCUGAAUCGGCUUCAGCAUGACCACUUUCUUCAACUUCUGGAACACACUGGCAUAUGAUUCUUCAAUAGGGGUGAGAGCCCUUUCUCGUUUCAGCAACCUCUCAUUCUUACACGCUAGAUUUGGCCUAAAACCUAAUCUAGGGGGUUUCUGGUAUGCUCGUGGGGGUGGAUAGGCUUUUUGUGGAGCAGGGUACUUGGAGAGUGAGGUAUGUCUUUGAGAUCCCUCUGGAGAAAAUUAAUGUUGGGGAGGGUCAUCCAGUGCACGAGGAUAUUCAUGGGUACGAUGUCGAGGUUGGAAAUGUUGAUCAGGAGAGUUAUUUGGAUCAUUCUUUCUGUUUCUCUUUCUCCCUUCCGAGCUUAACGAGAUGUCUUGAAUGUCUUUCGAGCAACUCAUUAUUUUUCCCGACUUGAUUCCCUAUUCUAAGAACUCCCCUAUUCUUAACAGAUCAUCGAAAGGUCUGACCACGGUCGGGAUCAAAUAAUUGAAGUAAGUGGGCCCCUGGGCCUGUAUGAAAAUUUCAACCAUCUCUUCUUCACCAAUCGAGGUAUUGAGUCGAGCAGCUUGUUCUUUUCAUCUGAGCCCAAACUCUCCUAUGCUCUCUCCUAGUCUCCUUUCCAUUCUAGAUAAGGAGGAAUGGUUUGGGACAAAGUCUUUAUUGUACUGAAAAUGUCGCACAAAAUCUUGAGCGAUGUCGCCCAGCGUGUACCACUUCCUCAUAUCUUGACGAUCAUGCCAUUCCAAGGCUUCCCCAGUCAGGCUUUCACUAAAAUGCGACAUCAACAACUCAUCUUCCUUGCCGAAAUUCCUUGUUUUAUUGCAAUAAUCCCUCAAAUGGUCCACUGGAUCUCCCCGCCCAUCAUAUAAAUUAAACUUCGGCAUCUUAAACCCUUUUAGCUUUCUGGAAAUCUCAUUCUGCUCCACUGUUUUAGCAAGCUUCGUAGUAUCACCGGGAGACUUAAAAUGAAGAGCGUGAUGGUAUGGAGUCGAGGCCUUGAAAAUUGGUUCUGGAACUUAAUGUUGGGCAUCUGGGACUGAUGGCGGAGGAUACCCACUGGUCCAAGCUUUUUGCGUUCCGACUAUCUGUCUUUUCAACCUCAAAACCUCUUCUUUCAACUCAGAUUCUGAUUCAAC
This 1375-nucleotide long non-coding RNA is filed under the name Nicotiana benthamiana. RNAcentral's name for it is "long non-coding RNA (NBEN_LNC021899)". The record is from RNAcentral. Lineage: Eukaryota; Viridiplantae; Streptophyta; Magnoliopsida; Solanales; Solanaceae.